Molecule: ribosomal RNA, 448 nt
Filed under: uncultured bacterium
Lineage: Bacteria
Description: partial 16S ribosomal RNA
Rfam family: Bacterial small subunit ribosomal RNA
Source: RNAcentral
CGUGCUUAACACAUGCAAGUCGAACGAUGAAGCUGGAGCUUGCUCCAGCGGAUUAGUGGCAGACGGGUGAGUAACGCGUGGGAACCUUCCCAAUGGUACGGAAUAGCUCAGGGAAACUUGAGGUAAUACCGUAUAAGCCCCUAGGGGGAAAGAUUUAUCGCCAUUGGAUGGGCCCGCGUCGGAUUAGCUAGUUGGUGAGGUAAUGGCUCACCAAGGCGACGAUCCGUAGCUGGUUUGAGAGAAUGACCAGCCACACUGGGACUGAGACACGGCCCAGACUCCUACGGGAGGCAGCAGUGGGGAAUCUUGGACAAUGGGCGCAAGCCUGAUCCAGCCAUGCCGCGUGAGUGACGAAGGCCUUAGGGUUGUAAAGCUCUUUUGCCAGGGACGAUAAUGACGGUACCCGGAGAAUAAGUCCCGGCUAACUUCGUGCCAGCCGCCGCAGUAA